CCUACGGGAGGCAGCAGUGAGGAAUAUUGGACAAUGGGCGCAAGCCUGAUCCAGCCAUGCCGCGUGCAGGAUGACGGUCCUAUGGAUUGUAAACUGCUUUUGCACAGGAAGAAACAACAUUACGUGUAAUGUCUUGACGGUACUGUGAGAAUAAGGAUCGGCUAACUCCGUGCCAGCAGCCGCGGUAAUACGGAGGAUCCAAGCGUUAUCCGGAAUCAUUGGGUUUAAAGGGUCCGUAGGCGGUUUAGUAAGUCAGUGGUGAAAGCCCAUCGCUCAACGGUGGAACGGCCAUUGAUACUGCUAGACUUGAAUUAUUAGGAAGUAACUAGAAUAUGUAGUGUAGCGGUGAAAUGCUUAGAGAUUACAUGGAAUACCAAUUGCGAAGGCAGGUUACUACUAAUGGAUUGACGCUGAUGGACGAAAGCGUGGGUAGCGAACAGGAUUAGAUACCCUGGUAGUCCACGCCGUAAACGAUGGAUACUAGCUGUUGGGAGCAAUCUCAGUGGCUAAGCGAAAGUGAUAAGUAUCCCACCUGGGGAGUACGUUCGCAAGAAUGAAACUCAAAGAGUAAGUGACGUGAGAGAGACGACGACGGACGACGACGGAGGGAGGAGG
This 615-nucleotide ribosomal RNA is filed under the name uncultured bacterium. Its description in RNAcentral is "bacterial SSU rRNA". It matches the Rfam family "Bacterial small subunit ribosomal RNA", at positions 338 to 956 of the family's 1533-position model. The record is from RNAcentral.